GCACGAAGGCCAGCAGCUCCUUCAGCACCUUGAGGAAAUGGACGGCGAAGGAGUCCGGCAUGGUUCUCCCCGGCGCAGCGGCAGGGCAGUCUCUCCAGGAACCAUGCUUUACAGCUCCAGCUGGAGGCCCUCUAAAAUGCUGAAACUGGAAAACCUACAAAUAUAAGUUGCCUGGAACACCAAAUGCCUCUUCCAGUCUUUUUGGAGGCCGUGCAGUUCACUAGACCUAAAGACACCAUAGCCCACAUACUAUGCUUAGAGCAUGCAACAGACGGCAUUUCCACGUUUCCAAGAUUCAGAUUACAUCUUCCUCGCAGAAGAGGACCUAAUGCAACACAAAUGGCUGAAGAAGGCAAAAAGACUGUUUCUCCAAGCUCUAGCAGAUCUUCCAGAUCUUUGAUCUUGGAGCCAUCUGCUCACGGACAGAAAAGGCUAUGGUGCAAGUGAACUGAGAAUACUCCAGUUUGCAAGAUGACCAACUAACCCUUGUGCUUCACAGAUUACA
This is a long non-coding RNA of Harpia harpyja (harpy eagle), 505 nucleotides long. RefSeq lists it as uncharacterized. The transcript has 3 exons. The record is from RefSeq and is a predicted model, not a curated record. Lineage: Eukaryota; Metazoa; Chordata; Aves; Accipitriformes; Accipitridae.